This 122-nucleotide ribosomal RNA is filed under the name Fidelibacterota bacterium JGI 0000113-D11. The record is from RNAcentral. Lineage: Bacteria; Pseudomonadati; Fidelibacterota.
UCUCCGGUGACCAUAGCAUAGGAGUUACACCCGAUCCCAUCUCGAACUCGGAAGUUAAGCCCUAUUGCGCCGAUGGUACUGCGCGGGUAACUAGCGUGGAAGAGUAGGUCGUCGCCGGGAAU